RNAcentral lists this non-coding RNA (162 nucleotides) under chicken gut metagenome. The record is from RNAcentral.
GGAGGAUGGUUCCGCUGUGGGCGGAUGAAAAGGGAAACCGGUGAAAGUCCGGUACGAUCCCGUCACUGUGAUAGGGAGCCGGCGGCAGAAAGGCCACUGGGGCAGAAAGGCUCCGGGAAGGCGCCGCAGGCUGUGAACUUAAGUCAGGAGACCUGCCAGACU